UACGUAGGGGGCAAGCGUUGUCCGGAUUUAUUGGGCGUAAAGAGCGUGUAGGCGCCACACAGGUCUGCUGUGAAAACUCGAGGCUCAACCUCGAGCUGUCGGUGGAAACCGUGUGGCUAGAGUCCGGAAGAGGAGAGUGGAAUUCCUGGUGUAGCGGUGAAAUGCGCAGAUAUCAGGAAGAACACCCGUGGCGAAGGCGGCUCUCUGGGACGUGACUGACGCUGAGACGCGAAAGCGUGGGGAGCGAACAGG
RNAcentral lists this ribosomal RNA (252 nucleotides) under uncultured bacterium. Its description in RNAcentral is "partial 16S ribosomal RNA". It matches the Rfam family "Bacterial small subunit ribosomal RNA", at positions 524 to 776 of the family's 1533-position model. The record is from RNAcentral.